AUUGAACGCUGGCGGCAGGCUUAACACAUGCAAGUCGAGCGGGGUGAUGGUGCUUGCACUAUCACUUAGCGGCGGACGGGUGAGUAAUGCUUAGGAAUCUGCCUGUUAGUGGGGGACAACAUCUCGAAAGGGGUGCUAAUACCGCAUACGUCCUACGGGAGAAAGCAGGGGAUCACUUGUGACCUUGCGCUAAUAGAUGAGCCUAAGUCGGAUUAGCUAGUUGGUGGGGUAAAGGCCUACCAAGGCGACGAUCUGUAGCGGGUCUGAGAGGAUGAUCCGCCACACUGGGACUGAGACACGGCCCAGACUCCUACGGGAGGCAGCAGUGGGGAAUAUUGGACAAUGGGGGGAACCCUGAUCCAGCCAUGCCGCGUGUGUGAAGGAGGCCUUAUGGUUGUAAAGCACUUUAAGCGAGGAGGAGGCUCUUUUGGUUAAUACCCAAGAUGAGUGGACGUUACUCGCAGAAUAAGCACCGGCUAACUCUGUGCCAGCCGCCGCGGUAA
This 503-nucleotide ribosomal RNA is filed under the name uncultured bacterium. Its description in RNAcentral is "partial 16S ribosomal RNA". It matches the Rfam family "Bacterial small subunit ribosomal RNA", at positions 30 to 523 of the family's 1533-position model. The record is from RNAcentral.